GGCUCGGUAGCUUAGUUGGUAAAGCGCUCGUCUAGCAUACAAGAGUCCUGGGUUCAAAUCCCACCCGAGCAC
Molecule: non-coding RNA, 72 nt
Organism: Aedes aegypti (yellow fever mosquito)
Lineage: Eukaryota; Metazoa; Arthropoda; Insecta; Diptera; Culicidae
Source: Rfam